This is a non-coding RNA of Mycena rebaudengoi, 99 nucleotides long. The record is from the annotation of a GenBank genome assembly. NCBI's taxonomy places the organism in Eukaryota, Fungi, Basidiomycota, Agaricomycetes, Agaricales, Mycenaceae.
GCCCUCGUCGAUUAAUGGAAAAUCACCCACCGAUUGUGUUUUGUCGUCGUCAUAUUACGAGUCAUGUGGGAGCCGGGGGUUCGAAUCCUCCCUGGGGCA